UAUUUUAUGGAACAUACUUGUACUAAAAAUUACUCAGCAUUCAUCUGAAAUUGGUUGUUCUCUAAUUUUACUUGUGAAAUCCGGCAAGCCUGCCCUCCCAGACAAACACCGUGGCCUGGCUCUCAAAACUCAGUCGAAGGAAAGGCCAGCUGAUGGCUAUGCCUUUGAGCCAGCGGACCUGCGUUAAGGUGCUGUGCUCCAGGAAUGGAGACAUCUCUGAGCUGCCUCCUUCACUGGCUGGAAAGUGGAGAGGUCCCUUCUUGGCUCUGUCUCUGUGGGUGGUAGCUGGAGGGAACAGACAGGGCAAGUCUGGCCAUUUGGGAUCAGCUGGAUGGGAGAGGUGAAGCAGAAGACACAGAUCACCUGGGAGGCUCAAGAGUGGUUGUCUCUACACCCUUGAACUUUCAGGAGCUUGUCUGAUGGAAAUGACCCAAAGCAACAGGUGAACCCACCAUUCCCUCUCAUUUGAAGCUACCCUUGGGGACACUGCUGACUUCAUCAGUCAUCUAACAAAUCUCUUCCUGACCACCAAGACCCGAGCAGCUUUUCCUCCACCAGACCUUUCCAACAUGCCCUUCCUGCCUGGGAGCCACUGGACUAAACCAACUAUGGUUGGAGCCAACUAUGGACUAAAGACUCUAAAACCCAUACGCCAAAAUACACCUUUCCUCCUUUAAGUUGUGAGUGCCGGCAUUUUGUUCCAGCAACAUGGAGAGGGUUAAAUCCGAUGGCCAUUCCUUCAGACCACCAACCCUUUCCCCUACCUUGUUGCUGUCACCAACAACCUCUGAGUUUUUUCUCUUAAACAGUUCAGCGAAGACUUUUUCAAAAUGAUGUUUUCAAAAUUUCAGGUGUAGAAAUAGACAUUUAUCAAAGAUUUGAAAAAUAUAAAGAGUAUGAAGAAGAAAAUACAAAUAACCUCAUAAUCUCAUGCAGGAACAACAAUUAUUGGUGCUGAAUAAAUUUCCUUCCAGACUUC
Chinchilla lanigera (long-tailed chinchilla) is the source of this 979-nucleotide long non-coding RNA. RefSeq lists it as uncharacterized. The transcript is spliced from 3 exons. The record is from RefSeq and is a predicted model, not a curated record. NCBI's taxonomy places the organism in Eukaryota, Metazoa, Chordata, Mammalia, Rodentia, Chinchillidae.